GACGAACGCUGGCGGCGUGCCUAAUACAUGCAAGUCGAACGAACCGCGACUGAGUGCUUGCACUUGGUCAAGGUGAGUGGCGAACGGGUGAGUAACACGUGGGUAACCUACCUCAUAGUGGGGGAUAACAGUCGGAAACGACUGCUAAUACCGCAUAGGACAUAGGAUCACAUGAUCCAGUGAGGAAAGGUGGCGCAAGCUAUCGCUACGAGAUGGACCCGCGGUGCAUUAGCUAGUUGGUAGGGUAAAGGCCUACCAAGGCGAUGAUGCAUAGCCGACCCGAGAGGGUGAACCGCCACAUUGGGACUGAGACACGGCCCAAACUCCUACGGGAGGCAGCAGUAGGGAAUUUUCCGCAAUGGGCGCAAGUCUGAUGGAGCAACGCCGCGUGAGUGAAGAAGGUCUUCGGAUCGUAAAGCUCUUUUGUUAGGGAAGAACAGCGCAUAGAGUAACUGCUAUGCGUGUGACGGUACCGAACCAGAAAGCCACGGCUAACUACGUG
This 502-nucleotide ribosomal RNA is filed under the name uncultured bacterium. RNAcentral's name for it is "partial 16S ribosomal RNA". It matches the Rfam family "Bacterial small subunit ribosomal RNA", at positions 28 to 507 of the family's 1533-position model. The record is from RNAcentral.